Molecule: transfer RNA, 67 nt
Filed under: Myotis riparius (Riparian myotis)
Lineage: Eukaryota; Metazoa; Chordata; Mammalia; Chiroptera; Vespertilionidae
Also listed under: 1 other name
Description: tRNA-Lys
Rfam family: tRNA
About the family: Transfer RNA (tRNA) molecules are approximately 80 nucleotides in length. Their secondary structure includes four short double-helical elements and three loops (D, anti-codon, and T loops).
Source: RNAcentral
CAUUAAGAAGCUAAGUAGCGUUAACCUUUUAAGUUAAAGAUUGAGAGCUUAAGCCUCUCCUUAAUGA